CCCUGUGAUUCUGUGGUGGUGGCACCACUCAGCCUCAGUAGAUGUGGAGAUAUGGCACUGAGAGGGACACAGCGAGGAUGGGUUGAUGGUUGGACUAGGUGAUCUUAGAUGUCUUUUCCAACCUUAAUGAUUCUGUGCAACUGCAGCCAUAUCCCCGUGUGGUUUCUGUUCUCCCCCGUGUUCUCCCUGCCAUUCCUGCUUGAAUCUAAUGAAUUAGAUUCUUUUCUUAUUCUGUCUUCUGCUCCUCCGCCGUCAUUAUUUGGCAGAGCUGUAGGCACAGACGUGUUGUAAUGCGGCAGCGAAGCCAGCUCGGGCUCCUUUUGAGCAGAACGAGCACUGCUUGCCAGCCGGCCUGCCGCUCCGCAGAGUGCUGGAGCUCCGUGCUCUGCCCGCUCCCAGCUCCGGCACCGUAACCGGCACUGCCGUGGCCCUCCACCCCAGCCUCAAACGCGACGCUCUCGAACGCGGCUCGACAGGGCGGGGGGCAGCCCGACAGGGCCGCUCUGCCCGCACCCACACGCCGCCUCUCCGAGCCCGGGGUGGGAGCGGCGGUGCGGGGCUGCGGCUCGGCUCCUCUGCGCGGUGCCGCCCCGGGGCAGGGAGGCAGGGCAGGCUGCGGGGGCCGGGCUGCCGGGGCCGGGCUGCCCCACCGCGUCCUGCGGCACUCGGCACCGCCGCCUGCAGCCGGGGAGCCUUUCUCAGAGGCGCUGCUGCCGAGAAACACGAGCGCGUAAGUAACUGAACGGGACAUGAAGAAUUGACAUUUAAAUGGCCAGCAUGUUGCAAAAGGUCAACACUAUCGGUCCGGAAGCAUUUCUCAGGUGUGAUGGAGAUGACUACAUUCCCUGUGGGAUCUAUUCCUGUGUCCUGACAACAUGU
This 879-nucleotide long non-coding RNA is filed under the name Pavo cristatus (Indian peafowl). Its description in RNAcentral is "lncRNA (ENSPSTG00000002855.1)". Lineage: Eukaryota; Metazoa; Chordata; Aves; Galliformes; Phasianidae. The record is from RNAcentral.